GGCCCGCCCUGCCAGAGUCCCAGGACCGAAAGUGAAGGCGCGCGCUCGGCCUCUCGGCGCUCGCUUGCUUGGGUCUGACCGGGCUGGCUAAAGCCGGGCAGCGGGACUCCGGGCGCUAGCCGGGCCCGGCGCGCGGGGCGGCAUGGAGGGGCCGCCGGCCGCCGCCGGCGGGGAGGUCUCCUUGCACAACUUCAGCGCGAGGCUGUGGGAGCAGCUCGUCCACUUCCAUGUCAUGCGGCUGACGGACUCGCUGUUCCUGUGGGUGGGAGCCACGCCGCACCUGCGCAACCUCGCCGUGGCCAUGUGCAACCGCUACGAUUCCAUCCCUGUGUCUACCUCCCUCCUCGGAGACACUUCUGACACCACCUCUACUGGCCUUGCACAGCGCUUAGAGAAUCCUAUAAGCCUGCUGGGACAUGUGUGUCCGGAUCGCCGGAGGCAGAAGUCCAGUCUAGGAAACGGGAUUCUGAAUGCACCGGGGCCCCCCACCCCCACCACCGCGGGAGGCUGCAGGUGCACGCGCCCCACGGGGGCAGCCGUGAGAGCUCAUUGGUGAUGUCAGCCCUCGGCAGCCAUCCCAGAGCUAAAAAUUUCCUUCUCUCCCAACCCCUCUUCCGUGCUUUGGGGAAAUCAAAGUGCUUUUAUCACACCAUGAGGAUGCGUCAAGGUCAACGGGCAAAAGACCCCUGCCCCCGUCGGAGGAGGCUGCCGUUUGCCAAAUGAACUCAUUUCCACGUGGGAAAUCCUCGGCAGAGGGCCUGCUGGUGCCGUCCUUUUAUCAUUGAGCACCUGGUUCCGGGUUCCCACCACUUUCACGAUGCAGACCUUCUUGGGCCUCCGGGAAAGCUCCUUCUCCAGCUCUGCAGGGAAAGAAAGCCUGUGACCUCCGGCAGGACCCUGGACAGGCGACGGCACGCACGUUCCCAGACGUGGGCAUCAUGACAAGGGAAACAAUUUUUUUUUUUUCUUUAAGCCAGGAGACAGGGUUAUUUAAACAACUUUUUUUUUUUUUGGGAGGGGGGAUCAGUGUCACCAGCUGGGGCAUUGAAGGGAGAAGGAAAAGUCUUUUGAUGUCUGAGGGAUGCCAUGCCACCUGAGUUUCCAGAACUUUCUUCCUUCCCCUAUUUAGAUGCAAAAUUGAGGUCUGUGCACAAGCCAGAACAGCUAGCACUUCAGCUGUCUAUCCAUGGAUUCCCCCCAGCUCCCAAGGUCUUCCGAACCUUUAUUUUCCCCUCUGCAAACAUAGGCUAAUUUGAUUUACAAACAUCCUUUCCCCUUGGUUAAAAUACUACAAAAAUUUUAAAGAACAUGGAAAUAGUAUGGUUACUGUUAACCAGUUUGAUCAAAUGGUCUGAGUAUCUUCACUGUUAUAAAAGUUAUCAGCAGGGGGUGGGGGGCAGGAGGGGUAUACCUGGCUGGCUCAGUUGGUUAACCAUCUGCCUUCGGCUCAGGUCAUGA
Lutra lutra (Eurasian river otter) is the source of this 1458-nucleotide RNA transcript. It is a transcript of the gene named proteasome assembly chaperone 4, with no coding region annotated. NCBI's taxonomy places the organism in Eukaryota, Metazoa, Chordata, Mammalia, Carnivora, Mustelidae. The record is from RefSeq and is a predicted model, not a curated record. The transcript has 4 exons.